Molecule: transfer RNA, 77 nt
Filed under: Mycobacterium sp. AZCC_0083
Lineage: Bacteria; Bacillati; Actinomycetota; Actinomycetes; Mycobacteriales; Mycobacteriaceae
Description: tRNA-Met
Rfam family: tRNA
About the family: Transfer RNA (tRNA) molecules are approximately 80 nucleotides in length. Their secondary structure includes four short double-helical elements and three loops (D, anti-codon, and T loops). Further hydrogen bonds mediate the characteristic L-shaped molecular structure. tRNAs have two regions of fundamental functional importance: the anti-codon, which is responsible for specific mRNA codon recognition, and the 3' end, to which the tRNAs corresponding amino acid is attached (by aminoacyl-tRNA synthetases). tRNAs cope with the degeneracy of the genetic code in two manners: having more than one tRNA (with a specific anti-codon) for a particular amino acid; and 'wobble' base-pairing, i.e. permitting non-standard base-pairing at the 3rd anti-codon position.
Source: RNAcentral
UGCGCGGUAGGACAGUUCGGAAGUCCGCCGGGCUCAUAACCCGGAAGUCGCAGGUUCAAAUCCUGUCCGCGCAACCA